Long non-coding RNA from Alligator sinensis (Chinese alligator), 452 nucleotides. RefSeq lists it as uncharacterized. Lineage: Eukaryota; Metazoa; Chordata; Crocodylia; Alligatoridae. The transcript has 3 exons. The record is from RefSeq and is a predicted model, not a curated record.
GCCUCUGAGAUUUGUAGUCCACAGUUGCAGCCAGCAGCUUUUUUGGAAGCAACCCUAUUCCUUGCUGUUAGUGACAUGCCUAGUACAUUUGGGGAGCUGGUCAUACAUGAAAGUCCUCCUAAACAGCCUUGGAAGUGAGAACUGAAUAUAUUCAUUCCAUCCCCAGGAAAGUGCUCUUUCCAGUGCUGAGACAUCUCCAGCCCAGAUGCACGCACACACAAAUUUCCAUCCCAGAAUAUUCCAUCCUGGAAAGUAAUAGUGUGAUGUUUGAAGUUGCAGCUUAGAGCCAAAGUUGUUUUUUAAACAUGAAUCUUCUACAAUGGAUUCAAAUAUAUGUGAGUAGGUAAUUAUACAUGGCUGCUUACUAUGUCCCAGUCAAUUGCUUCAAACUCCCCUUGCUGUCAUAUACAAGUGUUAAUUUGAUAUUUACUCACAAUAAAAAUCUUUCUACU